GACGAACGCUGGCGGCGUGCUUAACACAUGCAAGUCGAACGGAAAGGCCCUGCUUUUGUGGGGUGCUCGAGUGGCGAACGGGUGAGUAACACGUGAGUAACCUGCCCUUGCCUUUGGGAUAACUUCAGGAAACUGGGGCUAAUACCGGAUAGGAGCUCCUGCUGCAUGGUGGGGGUUGGAAAGUUUCGGCGGUUGGGGAUGGACUCGCGGCUUAUCAGCCUGUUGGUGGGGUAGUGGCUUACCAAGGCUUUGACGGGUAGCCGGCCUGAGAGGGUGACCGGCCACAUUGGGACUGAGAUACGGCCCAGACUCCUACGGGAGGCAGCAGUGGGGAAUAUUGCACAAUGGGCGGAGGCCUGAUGCAGCAACGCCGCGUGCGGGAUGACGGCCUUCGGGUUGUAAACCGCUUUCGCCUGUGACGAAGCGUGAGUGACGGUAAUGUGUAAAGAAGCACCGGCUAACUACGUG
This 468-nucleotide ribosomal RNA is filed under the name uncultured bacterium. Its description in RNAcentral is "partial 16S ribosomal RNA". It matches the Rfam family "Bacterial small subunit ribosomal RNA", at positions 28 to 507 of the family's 1533-position model. The record is from RNAcentral.